RNAcentral lists this transfer RNA (72 nucleotides) under Candidatus Neptunichlamydia sp. RNAcentral describes it as "tRNA-Asn". It matches the Rfam family "tRNA". From Rfam's summary of the family: Transfer RNA (tRNA) molecules are approximately 80 nucleotides in length. Their secondary structure includes four short double-helical elements and three loops (D, anti-codon, and T loops). The record is from RNAcentral. Lineage: Bacteria; Pseudomonadati; Chlamydiota; Chlamydiia; Parachlamydiales; Simkaniaceae.
UCCGGAUUAGCUCAGCGGUAGAGCAGUAGACUGUUAAUCUAUUGGUCGCUGGUUCGAGUCCAGCAUCCGGAG